RNAcentral lists this unclassified non-coding RNA (392 nucleotides) under soil metagenome. RNAcentral describes it as "partial contains 5.8S ribosomal RNA, internal transcribed spacer 2, and large subunit ribosomal RNA". The stretch from base 1 to 122 matches the Rfam family "5.8S ribosomal RNA", at positions 35 to 154 of the family's 154-position model. The record is from RNAcentral.
GAUGAAGAACGUAGCGAAAUGCGAUACUUGGUGUGAAUUGCAGAAUCCCGUGAACCAUCGAGUCUUUGAACGCAAGUUGCGCCCGAAGCCAUUAGGCCGAGGGCACGCCUGCCUGGGCGUCACACGUCGUUGCCCCCCCCAUCUACUCCUUCGGGAUUGCGGGGGGCGGAUGAUGGCCUCCCGUGCGCCUCGCCGCGCGGUUGGCAUAAAUGCCAAGUCCUCGGCGACGCACGCCACGACAAUCGGUGGUUGCGAAACCUCGGUUGCCCGUCGUGUGCGGUCGUCGCGCAUCGAGGGCUCGAAAAAAUUGCCGAGUUCCGGCUCGGCUUUCAACGCGACCCCAGGUCAGGCGGGGUUACCCGCUGAAUUUAAGAAUAUCAAUAAGCGGAGGA